CCGCAAACCGACACAGGUGGGUGAGGAGAGUAUCCUAAGGCCAGCGAGAGAACUGUUGUUAAGGAACUCGGCAAAAUGACCCCGUAACUUAGGGAUAAGGGGGGCCACCAUCAGGUGGCCGCAGAGAAUAGGCCCAAGCGACUGUUUACCAAAAACAUAGGUUUCUGCUAAGUCGCAAGACGAUGUAUAGGAGCUGACGCCUGCCCGG
Molecule: ribosomal RNA, 208 nt
Filed under: Clostridioides difficile
Lineage: Bacteria; Bacillati; Bacillota; Clostridia; Peptostreptococcales; Peptostreptococcaceae
Description: partial 23S ribosomal RNA
Rfam family: Bacterial large subunit ribosomal RNA
Source: RNAcentral